GCCAGACUCCUACGGGAGGCAGCAGUGGGGAAUAUUGCACAAUGGGGGAAACCCUGAUGCAGCGACGCCGCGUGAGUGAAGAAGUAUUUCGGUAUGUAAAGCUCUAUCAGCAGGGAAGAAAAUGACGGUACCUGAUUAAGAAGCCCCGGCUAACUACGUGCCAGCAGCCGCGGUAAUACGUAGGGGGCAAGCGUUAUCCGGAUUUACUGGGUGUAAAGGGAGCGUAGACGGUGAUGCAAGUCAGAAGUGAAAGCCCGGGGCUCAACUCCGGGACUGCGUUUGAAACUGUGUGACUGGAGUGCAGGAGAGGUAAGCGGAAUUCCUGGUGUAGCGGUGAAAUGCGUAGAUAUCAGGAGGAACACCAGUGGCGAAGGCGGCUUACUGGACUGUAACUGACGUUGAGGCUCGAAAGCGUGGGGAGCAAACAGGAUUAGAUACCCGGGUACG
This 447-nucleotide ribosomal RNA is filed under the name uncultured bacterium. Its description in RNAcentral is "bacterial SSU rRNA". It matches the Rfam family "Bacterial small subunit ribosomal RNA", at positions 330 to 793 of the family's 1533-position model. The record is from RNAcentral.